CAGUAGCCGCGGUAAUACGUAGGUGGCAAGCGUUGUCCGGAAUUAUUGGGCGUAAAGGGCUCGCAGGCGGUUUCUUAAGUCUGAUGUGAAAGCCCCCGGCUCAACCGGGGAGGGUCAUUGGAAACUGGGAAACUUGAGUGCAGAAGAGGAGAGUGGAAUUCCACGUGUAGCGGUGAAAUGCGUAGAGAUGUGGAGGAACACCAGUGGCGAAGGCGACUCUCUGGUCUGUAACUGACGCUGAGGAGCGAGAGCGUGGGGAGCGAACAGGAUUAGAGACCCGAGUAGUCCCUGUCUCUUAUAC
RNAcentral lists this ribosomal RNA (301 nucleotides) under uncultured bacterium. RNAcentral's name for it is "partial 16S ribosomal RNA". It matches the Rfam family "Bacterial small subunit ribosomal RNA", at positions 509 to 807 of the family's 1533-position model. The record is from RNAcentral.